Molecule: ribosomal RNA, 253 nt
Filed under: uncultured bacterium
Lineage: Bacteria
Description: partial 16S ribosomal RNA
Rfam family: Bacterial small subunit ribosomal RNA
Source: RNAcentral
UACGGAGGGUGCAAGCGUUGUUCGGAAUUAUUGGGCGUAAAGGGCGUGUAGGCGGUCUUUUAAGUCUGAUGUGAAAGCCCCGGGCUCAACCUGGGAAGUGCAUUGGAAACUGGAAGACUUGAGUACGGGAGAGGGCAGUGGAAUUCCUGGUGUAGGAGUGAAAUCCGUAGAUAUCAGGAGGGACACCGGUGGCGAAGGCGGCUGCCUGGACCGAUACUGACGCUGAGACGCGAAAGCGUGGGUAGCAAACAGG